This 453-nucleotide ribosomal RNA is filed under the name uncultured Oceanicola sp. RNAcentral describes it as "bacterial SSU rRNA". It matches the Rfam family "Bacterial small subunit ribosomal RNA", at positions 12 to 507 of the family's 1533-position model. Lineage: Bacteria; Pseudomonadati; Pseudomonadota; Alphaproteobacteria; Rhodobacterales; Roseobacteraceae. The record is from RNAcentral.
UUUGAUCCUGGCGUCAGAACGAACGCUGGCGGCAGGCCUAACACAUGCAAGUCGAGCGAGACCUUCGGGUCUAGCGGCGGACGGGUUAGUAACGCGUGGGAAUGUACCCUUCACUGCGGAAUAGCCACUGGAAACGGUGAGUAAUACCGCAUACGCCCUUCGGGGGAAAGAUUUAUCGGUGAAGGAUCAGCCCCCCGCGUCUGAUUAGAUAGUUGGUGGGGUAACGGCCUACCAAGUCGACGAUCAGUAGCUGGUUUUAGAGGAUGAUCAGCAACACUGGGACUGAGACACGGCCCAGACUCCUACGGGAGGCAGCAGUGGGGAAUCUUAGACAAUGGGCGCAAGCCUGAUCUAGCCAUGCCGCGUGUGUGAUGAAGGCCCUAGGGUCGUAAAGCACUUUCGCCAGGGAUGAUAAUGACAGUACCUGGUAAAGAAACCCCGGCUAACUCCGUG